Molecule: ribosomal RNA, 465 nt
Filed under: Vreelandella stevensii
Lineage: Bacteria; Pseudomonadati; Pseudomonadota; Gammaproteobacteria; Oceanospirillales; Halomonadaceae
Description: partial 16S ribosomal RNA
Rfam family: Bacterial small subunit ribosomal RNA
Source: RNAcentral
CCUACGGGAGGCUGCAGUGGGGAAUAUUGGACAAUGGGCGAAAGCCUGAUCCAGCCAUGCCGCGUGUGUGAAGAAGGCCUUCGGGUUGUAAAGCACUUUCAGUGGGGAAGAAAGCCUUGGGGCUAAUACCCUCGAGGAAGGACAUCACCCACAGAAGAAGCACCGGCUAACUCCGUGCCAGCAGCCGCGGUAAUACGGAGGGUGCGAGCGUUAAUCGGAAUUACUGGGCGUAAAGCGCGCGUAGGCGGUCUGAUAAGCCGGUUGUGAAAGCCCCGGGCUCAACCUGGGAACGGCACCCGGAACUGUCAGGGUAGAGUGCAUGAGAGGAAGGUAGAAUUCCCGGUGUAGCGGUGAAAUGCGUAGAGAUCGGGAGGAAUACCAGUGGCGAAGGCGGCCUUCUGGACUGACACUGACGCUGAGGUGCGAAAGCGUGGGUAGCAAACAGGAUUAGAUACCCGAGUAGUC